This 255-nucleotide ribosomal RNA is filed under the name uncultured bacterium. RNAcentral describes it as "partial 16S ribosomal RNA". It matches the Rfam family "Bacterial small subunit ribosomal RNA", at positions 524 to 776 of the family's 1533-position model. The record is from RNAcentral.
UACGUAGGGACCAAGCGUUGUUCGGAUUUACUGGGCGUAAAGGGCGCGUAGGCGGCGUGGUAAGUCACUUGUGAAAUCUCUGAGCUUAAACUCAGAACGGCCAAGUGAUACUGCUGUGCUAGAGUGCAGAAGGGGCAAUCGGAAUUCUUUGGUGUAGCGGUGAAAUGCGUAGAUAUCAAGAGGAACACCUGAGGUGAAGACGGGUUGCUGGGCUGACACUGACGCUGAGGCGCGAAAGCCAGGGGAGCAAACGGG